UGCAACAGCUUCACGUCGCCUGACCCCCACAAGGGCCUCGUCCUCCUGCCUAAGACGGAGUGCGACGUGCGGGAAGUGGAGCUGAUGCGGUGCCUGCGGCUGCGUCAGUCCUCCCUGGAGCCUGUGGCCUUCCGGCUGCCCCGAGUCCGGAAAGAGUUCUUCCAGGAUGACGUGUUCCCAGACACGGCUGUGAUCUGGGAGCCUGUGCUCAGUGCCGAGGCCUGGCUGCAAGGCGCUAAUGGGCAGCCCUGGCUUCUCAGCCUGCAGCCUCCUGACAUGAGCCCAGGUGCACCGAGGGACUGGGUGUGGGGAGGAAGCGGGAUGGGGGUUGGAGAAAGGGACAGAAGGCCCAGGUUGAAGUUCCAUUCCUGUUGGCACGCAGAAUCCUCUGGCCUUUGGGAGGGUGGAGUGGCUGUGUCAAUCAGUCUCUGAGCCAGUGGAGGGCAGGGCUCGUGGUCUGUGUUUUCAUCACAGGUCCCCACCCCUAACA
This 490-nucleotide long non-coding RNA is filed under the name Homo sapiens (human). RNAcentral's name for it is "non-protein coding lnc-PAM16-4:2". The record is from RNAcentral. Lineage: Eukaryota; Metazoa; Chordata; Mammalia; Primates; Hominidae.